Rattus norvegicus (Norway rat) is the source of this 528-nucleotide long non-coding RNA. RefSeq lists it as uncharacterized. The record is from RefSeq and is a predicted model, not a curated record. NCBI's taxonomy places the organism in Eukaryota, Metazoa, Chordata, Mammalia, Rodentia, Muridae.
UUAUUCCUCUAGUUCUUAGAAGUUAGGGAAGUGGAGACCAGUAUUCCUGAUCUCGGAAAGCAAGGCAUUGAGUGGCCGGGUUCAAGAGGCAGCGCCGCCUUGGGCCGCACACUUGCUGCACUCUUUGGAGGAGGAGAUUGGCUCUAUUUGUGACUUGUACAGGAAAAAUGAAGCGUGGACCCCCAAACGUUUCGCACGACACCAUUUGUCCUCGAGCCUGCGCGGCAUGCCUGCCUAUCCUUGGGCCUCAGUCUUCCUGUCUGAGAAACUUGAAGUCCCUUGAAGAGGGGUGAGACUCUUGCUGCAUGUGGAUUGUCCCUACAGAUAUCUCUGACCACGAGGACACACGUACAUGGCACACUGAAGCAAAUGGCCCCACAGGCACCCACACCCGCACCCACACCACACCCCAUGUGCGAGCUCUCUCAGAUCACACUGAGUUGGGAAAUGGGGACCAUGCCCCCUCAGGCAGGCGAUUACAGAUUUAAUUAAAAGUGACACAGUAAAUAAAAAACAUAUAAAAUGUAA